Molecule: ribosomal RNA, 1429 nt
Filed under: Priestia flexa
Lineage: Bacteria; Bacillati; Bacillota; Bacilli; Caryophanales; Bacillaceae
Description: Bacillus flexus partial 16S ribosomal RNA
Rfam family: Bacterial small subunit ribosomal RNA
Source: RNAcentral
CGGGCGGGUCGCUGCUAUAAUGCAGUCGAGCGAACUGAUUAGAAGCUUGCUUCUAUGACGUUAGCGGCGGACGGGUGAGUAACACGUGGGCAACCUGCCUGUAAGACUGGGAUAACUCCGGGAAACCGGAGCUAAUACCGGAUAACAUUUUCUCUUGCAUAAGAGAUAAUUGAAAGAUGGUUUCGGCUAUCACUUACAGAUGGGCCCGCGGUGCAUUAGCUAGUUGGUGAGGUAACGGCUCACCAAGGCAACGAUGCAUACCCGACCUGAGAGGGUGAUCGGCCACACUGGGACUGAGACACGGCCCAGACUCCUACGGGAGGCAGCAGUAGGGAAUCUUCCGCAAUGGACGAAAGUCUGACGGAGCAACCCGCGUGAGUGAUGAAGGCUUUCGGGUCGUAAAACUCUGUUGUUAGGGAAGAACAAGUACAAGAGUAACUGCUUGUACCUUGACGGUACCUAACCAGAAAGCCACGGCUAACUACGUGCCCAGCAGCCGCGGUAAUACGUAGGUGGCAAGCGUUAUCCGGAAUUAUUGGGCGUAAAGCGCGCGCAGGCGGUUUCUUAAGUCUGAUGUGAAAGCCCACGGCUCAACCGUGGGGGUCAUUGGAAACUGGGGAACUUGAGUGCAGAAGAGAAAAGCGGAAUUCCCCCGUGUAGCGGUGAAAUGCGUAGAGAUGUGGAGGAACACCAGUGGCGAAGGCGAAGUCUUUUUUUUUCUGUAUCUGACGCCCUGAUGCGCGAAUUUCGUGGGGAGCCACCCGAGAUUAGAUACCGGUGGUAGUCUCAUCGCACGUAAAACGAUGAGUGCUGAGUGCGUUAGUGGGUUUCCGCCAUACUUUCAGGUGCUGCAGCUUGCCGCAUUACGUAUUACCGCCUGGGGAGCUGGCAGGGUCGUUAGUCGUGAAGCUUUCAUAGGUUAUUGUACGGUGGCCCGUACCAGCAGGUGGAGUCUUGUAGGUUUAUAUUCGAAGCUACGCGACAGAGUAUUCUUACCAGGACUCGUUGACAUCUCCUGACACGCGUGCUCGAGAUCGAGCUUUCUCCUUCGGGGGAUCAGCGUGACAGGUGGUGCAUGGUUGUCGUCAGAUCUGGACGUGUCGUGAUCGAUAGUUGGCGUUAAGUCACCUCAUCGAGCGUCAAGGCUAUGCAUCGUUAGCUUGGUGAGCAUUUAGUUGGGUACUACUAAGGUGACUGCGCGGUGACAAGCUGGAGAGAUAGGUGGGGAUGACGUCAACUCAUCAUGCUCCUUCCAUGACCUGGGCUACACACGAUGCUACAAUGGAUCGAGUACAAUGCGAGCUGCAAGACCGCGAGGUCAUGACCACUGCUCCAUAAAACCAUUCUCAGUUCGGAUUGUAGGCUGCAACUCGCCUACAUGAAGCUGGAAUCGCUAGUAAUCGCGGAUCAGCAUGCCGCAGACACAGAC